AUUGAACGCUGGCGGCAGGCCUAACACAUGCAAGUCGAGCGGAUGAAGGGAGCUUGCUCCUGGAUUCAGCGGCGGACGGGUGAGUAAUGCCUAGGAAUCUGCCUGGUAGUGGGGGAUAACGUCCCGAAACGGGCGCUAAUACCGCAUACGUCCUGAGGGAGAAAGUGGGGGAUCUUCGGACCUCACGCUAUCAGAUGAGCCUAGGUCGGAUUAGCUAGUUGGUGGGGUAAAGGCCUACCAAGGCGACGAUCCGUAACUGGUCUGAGAGGAUGAUCAGUCACACUGGAACUGAGACACGGUCCAGACUCCUACGGGAGGCAGCAGUGGGGAAUAUUGGACAAUGGGCGAAAGCCUGAUCCAGCCAUGCCGCGUGUGUGAAGAAGGUCUUCGGAUUGUAAAGCACUUUAAGUUGGGAGGAAGGGCAGUAAGUUAAUACCUUGCUGUUUUGACGUUACCAACAGAAUAAGCACCGGCUAACUUCGUG
Molecule: ribosomal RNA, 484 nt
Filed under: uncultured bacterium
Lineage: Bacteria
Description: partial 16S ribosomal RNA
Rfam family: Bacterial small subunit ribosomal RNA
Source: RNAcentral